CACGUAGGGGGCAAGCGUUGUCCGGAUUUAUUGGGCGUAAAGAGCGCGUAGGCGGCCCGGAAAGUCGGAUGUGAAAACCCGGGGCUCAACCCCGGGCCUGCAUCCGAUACUCCCGGGCUGGAGGCAGGUAGGGGAGAUCGGAAUUCCUGGUGUAGCGGUGAAAUGCGCAGAUAUCAGGAGGAACACCGGUGGCGAAGGCGGAUCUCUGGGCCUGUCCUGACGCUGAGGCGCGAAAGCUAGGGGAGCGAACAGG
RNAcentral lists this ribosomal RNA (253 nucleotides) under uncultured bacterium. RNAcentral's name for it is "partial 16S ribosomal RNA". It matches the Rfam family "Bacterial small subunit ribosomal RNA", at positions 524 to 776 of the family's 1533-position model. The record is from RNAcentral.